UACGAAAGGUGCAAGCGUUACUCGGAAUCACUGGGCGUAAAGCGCACGUAGGCGGACUCGUAGGUCAAUUGUGAAAUACCUGGGCUCAACCCAGGAACUGCAGUUGAAACCACUUGUCUUGAAUACCUGAGAGGGUGGGGGAAUACCUGGUGGAGAAGUGAAAUGCGUAGAGAUCAGGUGGAACACCGGAGGCGAAGGCGCCUGCCUGGCAGUGUAUUGACGCUGAGGUGCGAAAGUGCGGGGAGCAAACAGG
This 253-nucleotide ribosomal RNA is filed under the name uncultured bacterium. RNAcentral's name for it is "partial 16S ribosomal RNA". It matches the Rfam family "Bacterial small subunit ribosomal RNA", at positions 524 to 776 of the family's 1533-position model. The record is from RNAcentral.